AAUGGGUCAGCGACUUAUAUUCUGUAGCAAGGUUAACCGAAUAGGGGAGCCGAAGGGAAACCGAGUCUUAACUGGGCGUUAAGUUGCAGGGUAUAGACCCGAAACCCGGUGAUCUAGCCAUGGGCAGGUUGAAGGUUGGGUAACACUAACUGGAGGACCGAACCGACUAAUGUUGAAAAAUUAGCGGAUGACUUGUGGCUGGGGGUGAAAGGCCAAUCAAACCGGGAGAUAGCUGGUUCUCCCCGAAAGCUAUUUAGGUAGCGCCUCGUGAAUUCAUCUCCGGGGGUAGAGCACUGUUUCGGCAAGGGGGUCAUCCCGACUUACCAACCCGAUGCAAACUGCGAAUACCGGAGAAUGUUAUCACGGGAGACACACGGCGGGUGCUAACGUCCGUCGUGAAGAGGGAAACAACCCAGACCGCCAGCUAAGGUCCCAAAGUCAUGGUUAAGUGGGAAACGAUGUGGGAAGGCCCAGACAGCCAGGAUGUUGGCUUAGAAGCAGCCAUCAUUUAAAGAAAGCGUAAUAGCUCACUGGUCGAGUCGGCCUGCGCGGAAGAUGUAACGGGGCUAAACCAUGCACCGAAGCUGCGGCAGCGACACUAUGUGUUGUUGGGUAGGGGAGCGUUCUGUAAG
Molecule: ribosomal RNA, 632 nt
Filed under: Escherichia coli
Lineage: Bacteria; Pseudomonadati; Pseudomonadota; Gammaproteobacteria; Enterobacterales; Enterobacteriaceae
Description: partial 23S ribosomal RNA
Rfam family: Bacterial large subunit ribosomal RNA
Source: RNAcentral